ACUCUUCCAAGACAUAAGUAUGAUAUGGUCUCACCUGGUGAACAUCCCUUCUGUAGCCAGAAUCAUUGUUGCUUCCUCCAAUUACAUAGAGCUUUCCCAGCAGUGCAGCCAUGCCAUGCCAAGCACGUCUCUCUGGACCAUCUGCUAAAACUUCCCAGCGGUCAGUCUUUGGAUCAUAACAUUGCAGCUCCUUCAAAUAAUCUUCUCCUCUCCUCCCACAGGUAAUAUACAUCUUCCCAUCCAGUGCUGCUCCAGCGUGUGCAUAUACCUGCAUCACCACGUGGGAAAGCAAGAGUUUGAGUGAGAGGCUCCUAUCUUUUUUGCCAGCAAGCAUACAGACUGCACUAAAGGCUUACUGACUCAGAGAUGGGCAACAGGGUGGAAAUAAGAAUAGUAGCAGGAUUAUCCUUAUCUUACCUCCAACACCUUGACUCUGCUCGAAAACCACUUACAUUGUUGUCUCCACCAAUUAAAUAUACAAAAUUAUUGAGAACAGCAAUCCCCUGGUUGGACAUUCUGGGGGCUAGUGCAGCUGUAAAGUGCCUCCACUCUCCCAACAGGGGGUUCAGAUACUUGGCUUGAUCACUGAGAACAAUGGAUGGAGUAGAAUGCAUCCCUCCAAAUCCCACUACACACUGGAACUCUGAUCUCAGCUGUGUCUGGGAGCUCUGGAGCAUUGGCUGAAGACAUUCAUUCUUGUGGUACAUUAGUGCAUCUGCGACUGUAUCUUUUAAAGGACAUGGACUUAAUUUGUCAUGAAGCCUUUGCAGGAUCUGGGGUUCCAUCAGAGGAAAACGAACUGUCUCAAGUAGCUUAAGGGGCUCCAUCAGGGAGACCUGAUCUGUCUCCAGUUGCUCUGGAGAAUAAUGAUAAAAAAGUGCACCAUCAUAAACUUCAAAUUCAUAGUUAACCUCCAAACGGUUGCUACUGAGAAGGGAGUAGACCUUCUGCAAGGGUAGCUGUCGGUACGCUUGUGUCCUUGAGAAAGCUGCAAAGUUCUUCAAAAUGUAGGAGUCCAGCUGGUCGCUCAAGUGUCUCAAGUCAUAAUGGUCAGCUAGUUUGUAUACAUCGAGGAUGUUCUCUUCAUCUACCCAGGACAUUAGAAAAUCACAACAGAACUUAAUGACUUCUGGAAUCUGCAAGAGAGAGAGAGCUUUUAUUUCAGACACCAUUUGCCUUACGUUCAAGAUACAGAUGACAGAAGCACAGAACAGGAAGCUUCCAAAAACUGUAAAAAAAUUGUUGACAAGAAAAUUGCCCUUCUCACAGAGUCUGAGCACCGUGUUCACCUUUCACCAGAGAAAAAUCACAACUCAACAUGGGUACGUAGAUGAAUAUAACCCAGAUCUUCUAGCCACACUAUACUGCAAGCCUUUGAGUUUUGCUUCUUGUGUAGCAGCAAUGCAUCUUGUGGGGCACAUGGGAUACUGAACAGCCAGGCUGCCUCAUUUGUUAGCAUGAGAGAUGCAGGCUGCCUGGGAGGCAGUCAUGGAAACAGAAGGCAUGAAGGACAUGGUAACAGCUGCUCCUUCAGUUGCUCUCCCAGAGCACUACAGACACACUAUAUCACAGAUUGUAACUAUAACAAAA
Molecule: long non-coding RNA, 1590 nt
Filed under: Gallus gallus (chicken)
Lineage: Eukaryota; Metazoa; Chordata; Aves; Galliformes; Phasianidae
Description: long non-coding RNA NONGGAT002876
Source: RNAcentral